RNAcentral lists this long non-coding RNA (1323 nucleotides) under Canis lupus familiaris (dog). Its description in RNAcentral is "lncRNA (ENSCAFG00805004022.1, ENSCAFG00845016966.1)". The record is from RNAcentral. Lineage: Eukaryota; Metazoa; Chordata; Mammalia; Carnivora; Canidae.
GCCACUGGACUCACCCAGUUUAAAGACAGCAGGAUCUAGUCUCGGAUUAUUCCUGUGGUCCCGGUUUCUCUCUUCAGGCAGUCACUACAGGAGAAGAGGGAGUGAAAGAGAAGCCCCCUUAAUACCCUAAUUCUUUCCGAAGAUGAUUCAGGUUUUUGUAGCUUCAUUAGCAUUUGCAGAUAGAAAUACAUUUUAAGUGGCAUUAUGCUAAGUAAUUAUUCUUACAGGAUGUGAAAUUAAACACAUUUUACUCAGCAUGAAAUUAUUCCUGCCACGUACUGAGUUUGGUGACAGCUUGAGAGUUUGGACAGUGGGUUGCAAGAAGGGGAGAAGCAAUCGAUGUAUUAAAAAAGAAAUCCAACCCCAAAUAUUCCACCAAAGCUCUGAAACACAGGGGAUGUGCCCUGCCCUGGGCAGGAGGAGCCCUGGAUCCUUCAUCACAGCAUGAGAGUUGUGAAUUCUGUUUGACACCAUCCUUAUGGCUAAUGUGCACAUCAGAUGCAAUGCAGGUGGAAGUGUCUUAAAAAAGGGACCAGUGAGGAGCAGCCUGCCCCACCUCAUGAGGUGCCCACAUCAGAUCCGAGCCUGCGCAUUGCUUCAGCAUGUGCCCUCCCCUGUCCCUCCAAGACGGGUGCCAAAGGCUUGUUUCCUGUAUGAAAAAGAAAGCAGAACGUGGCAGUGGAUGAUCUAUUGUCAUUAUUGAGGUGCAUUACGUGGCAAGGAGAUUUAGGGACCCAGAACAGCUAAGCGACACCUCGGCUCCCCAGGGCAGUAUUUGAAAGUGACGUCACCCCAAUACCCAAUUCAAAAUCACACCUUUUAACCUCCACAAUCAUCCAAGAUCCAUAUCAAGUUUGAUUCCGGUAAGAUGCCUCGAUAUUCUAAAUUAUUUGUCAGCCUGGCACGGCAAAUAAACAUUUGUGAAAUUCAUUUCAAAAGAUGUUAACACUGGUGAAACCCACGUGCCCCCAGAGGGAUUAUACAAAUUUCCAUGUCAAAUAUUUGAGGCAAAGCACUUGUAGAGAAACAGUGUUUUUUUGUGUUUUGAUGCCUUUCAUUUCCAUAAACUAGAUUACUUUCUGAAAUUACUUUCACACAGAGAACAGUUUCUAUUGAAUUCCAGUCAGUGAACUCCUCUGAGUGUGAGGUGAAUAAAAUAUCUCGGGGCUGUGGGGCUUCCUUGAUGCAUAUGCACCCGUGUUGUGUAAGGAAGGCAAACCAAGUUGAGAUGUUAUCUUUAGAGAGCUCAUGUACCCAGAUCUGCUGUCUUACGGUAAUUGCUAAACAACCAAUUCAUUUAGAGCCUAACAAGGAAGCUCUAGG